RNAcentral lists this ribosomal RNA (468 nucleotides) under uncultured bacterium. Its description in RNAcentral is "partial 16S ribosomal RNA". It matches the Rfam family "Bacterial small subunit ribosomal RNA", at positions 28 to 507 of the family's 1533-position model. The record is from RNAcentral.
GACGAACGCUGGCGGCGUGCUUAACACAUGCAAGUCGAACGGAAAGGCCCUGCUUUUGUGGGGUGCUCGAGUGGCGAACGGGUGAGUAACACGUGAGUAACCUGCCCUUGACUUUGGGAUAACUUCUGGAAACUGGGGCUAUUACCGGAUAGGAGCUCCUGCUGCAUGGUGGGGGUUGGAAAGUUUCGGCGGUUGGGGAUAGACUCGCGGCUUAUGAGCUUGUUGGUGGGGUAGUGGCUUACAAGGGGUUUGACGGGUAGCCGGCCUGAGAGGGUUACCGGCCACAUUGGGACUGAGAUACGGCCCAGACGCCUACGGGAGGCAGCAGUGGAGAAUAUUGCACAAUGGGCGGAAGCCUGAUGCAGCAGCGCCGCGUGCGGGAUGACGGCCUUCGGGUUGUAAACCGCCUUCGCAUGUGACGAGGCGUGAGUGACGGUAAUGGGUAAAGAAGCACCGGCUAACUACGUG